UACGGAGGGGGCUAGCGUUGUUCGGAAUUAUUGGGCGUAAAGGGCGCGUAGGCGGCCGGAUAAGUCUGACGUGAAAUCCCUCGGCCUAACCGAGGAACUGCGUCUGAAACUGUCUGGCUCGAGUCCGGGAGAGGGUAGCGGAAUUCCCAGUGUAGCGGUGAAAUGCGUAGAUAUUGGGAGGAACACCGGUGGCGAAGGCGGCUACCUGGACCGGUACUGACGCUGAGGCGCGAAAGCGUGGGUAGCAAACAGG
This 253-nucleotide ribosomal RNA is filed under the name uncultured bacterium. RNAcentral's name for it is "partial 16S ribosomal RNA". It matches the Rfam family "Bacterial small subunit ribosomal RNA", at positions 524 to 776 of the family's 1533-position model. The record is from RNAcentral.